This 357-nucleotide unclassified non-coding RNA is filed under the name soil metagenome. Its description in RNAcentral is "partial contains 5.8S ribosomal RNA, internal transcribed spacer 2, and large subunit ribosomal RNA". The stretch from base 1 to 120 matches the Rfam family "5.8S ribosomal RNA", at positions 35 to 154 of the family's 154-position model. The record is from RNAcentral.
GAUGAAGAACGCAGCGAAAUGCGAUAAGUAAUGUGAAUUGCAGAAUUCAGUGAAUCAUCGAAUCUUUGAACGCACAUUGCGCCCGCUGGUAUUCCGGCGGGCAUGCCUGUUCGAGCGUCAUUUCAACCCUCAAGCUCUCCGGAGUUUGGUGUUGGGGCGCCUGGGGCUUUUCGACCUCAGGGCCCUCAAGUCCAUCGGCGGGACCGCCAGGACACUGAGCGCAGUAGUAUUAUUUCGCUCGGUAGGAUCUUCCACGGCGGGUCGAUCUGGCCGCUAAACCCCCCAAUUCUCACCACAGGUUGACCUCGGAUCAGGUAGGAAUACCCGCUGAACUUAAGCAUAUCAAUAAGCGGAGGA